UAGGUUCUGAAGAAUGAUAAAUUGGACUGGGGCUGAGGUUGCCCUAGGGUUUGAGGGAACGGGGCUCCCUGGGUAUGGCUCUCCAGGGUGAGAGGAGACUUCCCAGUUCAGCCUGACUGCUUCCCCCACCCCUCCAGGUCCUGAGCCUUUGCCUCCAAAAGGUCUGCAGUAUCUGGUGCUCUUGUCUCAUGCCCACAGCCGAGAGUGCAGCCUGGUGCCCGGGCUUCGGGGGCCUGGCGGCCAAGAUGGGGGGCUUGUGUGGGAGUGCUCAGCAGGCCAUACCUUCUCCUGGGGACCCUCUUUGAGCCCUACACCUUCAGAGGCACCCAAGCCAGCCUCCCUUCCACAUACUUCUCGGAGAAGUUGGUGUUCCGAGGCCACAAGUGGGCAGGAGCUUGCAGAUUUGGAAUCUGAGCAUGAUGAGCGGACUCAAGAGGCCAGGUUGCCCAGUAGUGAGCCUGAUGCCCCCAGACUACGCCCUUCCCCUGUCACCUGCACACCUAAAGAGGGGGAGACACCACCAUCCCCUGCAGCACUCUCCACUCCUCUUGCUCUGCCGUCCUUGUCAGCAUCCUCAUUGAGUUCCAGAGCUCCUCCACCUGCAGAAGUCAGGGUGCAGCCAGAGCUCAGCAGGACCCCUCAAGCGGCCCAGCAGACUGAGGCCCUGGCCAGGUAACCUGAUGGCUGAGACAGAAAGGGCAGGGGCGUCCUGGGAUGUGGCCCUCCCUCGAGGCCCUCUGCUCCCUCUUUGCUGCCCAUAGCACUGGGAGUCAGGCCCAGUCUGCUCCAACCCCGGCCUGGG
RNAcentral lists this small RNA (802 nucleotides) under Pongo abelii (Sumatran orangutan). RNAcentral describes it as "retained intron". The record is from RNAcentral. Lineage: Eukaryota; Metazoa; Chordata; Mammalia; Primates; Hominidae.